ACUAAAAUUGAUCCAAUUUUCUUAUAACACCCUCUGUGUGUAUUUAAAAAACUGUGUCAAAAUUUGUUGAGUACUUAUAAUAGGCCACCUGGGAUUUCCUCUAGAUGCCAGUUUAAAACCUCUGGAAGAAGGAAGCUGAAGGCAGAGCUGUCGGCCAGAUAAACUGAGUUAUUCCUGAGAGUCAAGGGGGUGGAUGUCCCAUACUGAUCAGCAGUGUUACUUCAUGCCUGUGGCCUUAGGAUCACUAAUACCUGCCUGGAUCAAACCAAGCCAGAGAUGGCCAGGCUAUUUCUGGUACAGAAGAUGUUGCAGUCCUACUUUGAGAAGAUAGUUAUUGGGAAGUAUCCUGGGCAAUGCCCAUAAAAAACUAAUAUGCAUGUGCUUUUCCUGGAUCAUUUAAGCUUCCUAAUUUUGAUUAUGUAGAUCUUCACAGAAUUCCUGUGUCUUAAUAAACACACUUAAUUCUCACAUCUUUGAAAGGCAAACGACGAUCACCUCCCCCCACAAAAAAAUCAAACCUAAGAACAAAAAAUCCUUCAAAGCAAACUUAAAUGCAACAAUGUCUUUCACUUACUUUUCUAUUUAUGUACUUUACCUUGUAGCAAAACUCAAAGAAGAGUUGACCAUACUCUGAAUUUGAUACCCAACACUGCAAGGUAAAUUACAAAGUUGAUUAAUGUGUACUUUAUUUUGCCAUCUUCAUAGAAUGGGAAAUAUACAUAAUAAAUGUGUGUGAGAAUACAGAUGUCAGAUAUCUCUGCAGGGACAUCACAAGCUACUUUAUCUGAAGCCCACUCCAAUCUGGUUUUUGUCAGUGUCCCUGCACUAAUCUGACCUUGACUUCCUUGCUAUUAAAUAUGAUGGUCAAUCUUAAAUUCUCUUUCUGCUUGACAUAUUAGCAGCAUUUGACAUAGCAAAUCUUUUGUUUCCUGAAAUUUGUUUUCUGGACUGUCCACCUACUUUUCUGGAUGCUCCUUUUUAGUCUCUUGCAAGUCCCUCAUUCUCUCUAACUCCAAACAUUAGAGUGUCCUGGUGCUCUCUCUCUUCUUUGUCUAUAUUCAUUCACUGAUUGAAUUCUCUACCUUCAAUCUGGGACUCAUACCCCAUUGCCUAUUUGACAUCUCUUGGGAGGGGUCUGUAUUAUAUGGUUGUUCCCAAUUAUUCACUGCCUUUAUGUAAAAAUGUACUUCUGUUUUAUAAUCAUUCCAUUGCCAUAUGAUUUGCAGUUAACUCUCUGUGGGCAAAAUACAGUUAUUUGCCCCACUGACAUUGGGUUUAGUCAUGCAACAGACUUUGUCCCACAGAGUGAGGGCAUAAGUGACAUAUGUACAUCUGAACAGAUGUUUUAAGAGCUAUUGUAUAAUUCUACGAUUAGUGUUUUUGCAGUUCUAUGAGAAUGCCGU
This 1403-nucleotide long non-coding RNA is filed under the name Marmota monax (woodchuck). Lineage: Eukaryota; Metazoa; Chordata; Mammalia; Rodentia; Sciuridae. The record is from RNAcentral.